This 481-nucleotide ribosomal RNA is filed under the name uncultured bacterium. RNAcentral describes it as "partial 16S ribosomal RNA". It matches the Rfam family "Bacterial small subunit ribosomal RNA", at positions 28 to 507 of the family's 1533-position model. The record is from RNAcentral.
GAUGAGCGCUGGCGGCGUGCUUAACACAUGCAAGUCGAACGAAGCACUUUAUUUGAUUUCCUUCGGGACUGAUUAUUUUGUGACUGAGUGGCGGACGGGUGAGUAACGCGUGGGUAACCUGCCUUGUACAGGGGGAUAACAGUUGGAAACGGCUGCUAAUACCGCAUAAGCGCACAGCAUCGCAUGAUGCAGUGUGAAAAACUCCGGUGGUAUAAGAUGGACCCGCGUUGGAUUAGCUAGUUGGUGAGGUAACGGCCCACCAAGGCGACGAUCCAUAGCCGACCUGAGAGGGUGACCGGCCACAUUGGGACUGAGACACGGCCCAAACUCCUACGGGAGGCAGCAGUGGGGAAUAUUGCACAAUGGGCGAAAGCCUGAUGCAGCGACGCCGCGUGAGCGAAGAAGUAUUUCGGUAUGUAAAGCUCUAUCAGCAGGGAAGAUAAUGACGGUACCUGACUAAGAAGCACCGGCUAAAUACGUG